RNAcentral lists this ribosomal RNA (521 nucleotides) under uncultured soil bacterium. Its description in RNAcentral is "bacterial SSU rRNA". It matches the Rfam family "Bacterial small subunit ribosomal RNA", at positions 8 to 526 of the family's 1533-position model. The record is from RNAcentral.
AGAGUUUGAUCCUGGCUCAGAUUGAACGCUGGCGGCAUGCCUUACACAUGCAAGUCGAACGGUAACAGGUCUUCGGAUGCUGACGAGUGGCGAACGGGUGAGUAAUACAUCGGAACGUGCCCGAUCGUGGGGGAUAACGCAGCGAAAGCUGUGCUAAUACCGCAUACGAUCUACGGAUGAAAGCGGGGGAUCGCAAGACCUCGCGCGGACGGAGCGGCCGAUGGCAGAUUAGGUAGUUGGUGGGAUAAAAGCUUACCAAGCCGACGAUCUGUAGCUGGUCUGAGAGGACGACCAGCCACACUGGGACUGAGACACGGCCCAGACUCCUACGGGAGGCAGCAGUGGGGAAUUUUGGACAAUGGGCGAAAGCCUGAUCCAGCCAUGCCGCGUGCAGGAUGAAGGCCUUCGGGUUGUAAACUGCUUUUGUACGGAACGAAAAAGUCUUCUCUAAUACAGGAGGCGAAUGACGGUACCGUAAGAAUAAGCACCGGCUAANNNNNNNNNAGCCGCCGCGGUAAUAC